RNAcentral lists this ribosomal RNA (369 nucleotides) under uncultured organism. Its description in RNAcentral is "bacterial SSU rRNA". It matches the Rfam family "Bacterial small subunit ribosomal RNA", at positions 526 to 896 of the family's 1533-position model. The record is from RNAcentral.
CGGAGGGUGCAAGCGUUAUCCGGAAUCAUUGGGUUUAAAGGGUCCGCAGGCGGUCUUAUAAGUCAGUGGUGAAAGCCUACAGCUCAACUGUAGAACUGCCAUUGAUACUGUAAGACUUGAAUUCGAUCGAAGUGGGCGGAAUAUGACAUGUAGCGGUGAAAUGCUUAGAUAUGUCAUAGAACACCGAUAGCGAAGGCAGCUCACUAGGUCUGGAUUGACGCUCAGGGACGAAAGCGUGGGGAGCAAACAGGAUUAGAUACCCUGGUAGUCCACGCCGUAAACUAUCAAUACUCGUUCUCAGCCCUUCAGGGGUUGGGGACCAAGCGAAAGUGAUAAGUAUUGCACCUGGGGAGUACGAUCGCAAGGUUG